GAUACAUCAUACAUUGUGAGUCUUAAAUACGAUCGCAUAGACGCGUCAAUUCCCAUUAAUGACCAGAAUGGCACAAGAAAAAUGAAUAUGUACAUAAAUUCUUCAAAUGUCAAAUAUAGAAUAUUCAAUGUCAAAUAUUUCUAUAUGAACAAACAUUAAGAGCAAUUAGCGUAUACCUAUAUCAAGAGCAAAACAUGUUACAUCAUGCAUAUUUAUUUAAGAAACCUCUGUCUGCAGAUAACUUCAAUCUGAUGAUUCCUACCUGAGGCAACGGCAUAAUGAAAUCUUCUCUAUUUAUUUUUCUAAUUCUUCUUAAUGGAGCAACCUCGGCCAAUUGGGAGAGUUGCGAGACGGUAGCACAAAAAAAUUUGCGAGACCCAAUUAAAAUUGCAUAUGGAAGAAAACGACUGCGGGAGCUACAAACCCUUAUUGUAAUGUUUGACACCUAGAAUCGACCCGGAUUGUUAUCAAAUAUUUAAAGACUAUCACUCGUGUAAUACCGUUGGCAGUCGACACGAGGUGGCUAUGUACACACCAGUAAUUCUUUCUGCACUUGUUAUUACCUCAUUAAUAUAGAUGCAUGGUUGCAACGAUAACUUGCAUGCAUUAUUAACUAACUCUUUUCGAUGAUUCGGUGUUGCAUCUUUGCAAUGCAUCAAUGCUUGGAAUAAUUACACACCUGAAAUGUA
Octopus bimaculoides (California two-spot octopus) is the source of this 689-nucleotide long non-coding RNA. The record is from RefSeq and is a predicted model, not a curated record. NCBI's taxonomy places the organism in Eukaryota, Metazoa, Mollusca, Cephalopoda, Octopoda, Octopodidae.